Molecule: ribosomal RNA, 735 nt
Filed under: uncultured beta proteobacterium
Lineage: Bacteria; Pseudomonadati; Pseudomonadota; Betaproteobacteria
Description: bacterial SSU rRNA
Rfam family: Bacterial small subunit ribosomal RNA
Source: RNAcentral
CGCGGUAAUACGUAGGGUGCGAGCGUUAAUCGGAAUUACUGGGCGUAAAGCGUGCGCAGGCGGUUUUGUAAGACAGGCGUGAAAUCCCCGGGCUCAACCUGGGAACUGCGCUUGUGACUGCAUCACUUGAGUACGGCAGAGGGGGGUGGAAUUCCACGUGUAGCAGUGAAAUGCGUAGAGAUGUGGAGGAACACCGAUGGCGAAGGCAGCCCCCUGGGUCGAUACUGACGCUCAUGCACGAAAGCGUGGGUAGCAAACAGGAUUAGAUACCCUGGUAGUCCACGCCCUAAACGAUGUCAACUAGGUGUUGGGUGGGUAAAACCAUUUAGUACCGUAGCUAACGCGUGAAGUUGACCGCCUGGGGAGUACGGCCGCAAGGUUAAAACUCAAAGGAAUUGACGGGGACCCGCACAAGCGGUGGAUGAUGUGGAUUAAUUCGAUGCAACGCGAAAAACCUUACCUACCCUUGACAUGUCCAGAAGCCUGAAGAGAUUUUGGUGUGCCCGAAAGGGAACUGGAACACAGGUGCUGCAUGGCUGUCGUCAGCUCGUGUCGUGAGAUGUUGGGUUAAGUCCCGCAACGAGCGCAACCCUUGUCGUUAAUUGCCAUCAUUUAGUUGGGCACUUUAACGAGACUGCCGGUGACAAACCGGANGAAGGUGGGGAUGACGUCAAGUCCUCAUGGCCCUUAUGGGUAGGGCUUCACACGUCAUACAAUGGUCGGUACAGAGGGUUG